CAGUGUGGGGGUCUUUGGAAGGAAACAGAUGUUAUACUACUUCUCUCUUACCAAAUCCUGCCUGGUUUGUCUUGAAAAUACUAAAUCCUAAGACCCCCCUCUCCCUCAGUGAAGGCCUGACUAUUUGCCGUUGACCGUUUUGUCCUCUGCUGUUCAGUAAACGUCCGCCCACGGCGCUCAAGGAGCAAGUUAGUGCAUGCGGCCUGUCGGUUUAUAGCCAGUGCUUCACAUGCAAAAGCCCAGACUUAAAAACCUCUAGGCAGCAAUCUCUGGACUCUGCUGGUGAAGAAUUCAUAGAUCUCACAGGUGAAUCUUCCAAGCCAAUCUAACUGGCAAUAGUUCUGUUGUGCAGCAGGACUAAAACCAGCAGCACCCACUUGUUUCCAGAGCAGCAGAUAAUUCAGUAGUGACAAUG
Long non-coding RNA from Manacus vitellinus (golden-collared manakin), 415 nucleotides. RefSeq lists it as uncharacterized. The transcript is spliced from 3 exons. Lineage: Eukaryota; Metazoa; Chordata; Aves; Passeriformes; Pipridae. The record is from RefSeq and is a predicted model, not a curated record.